AGAGUUUGAUCCUGGCUCAGAACGAACGCUGGCGGCAGGCCUAACACAUGCAAGUCGAGCGCCCGCAAGGGAGCGGCAGACGGGUGAGUAACGCGUGGGAACGUGCCCUUUGGUUCGGAAUAUUCCCGGGAAACUGGGAGCAAAACCGGAUAAGCCCUUCGGGGGAAAGUUUACGCCAAAGGAUCGGCCCGCGUUAGAUUAGGUAGUUGGUGGGGUAACGGCCUACCAAGCCUACGAUCUAUAGCUGAUCUGAGAGGAUGAUCAGCCACACUGGGACUGAGACACGGCCCAGACUCCUAUGGGAGGCAGCAGUGGGGAAUCUUGGACAAUGGGCGCAAGCCUGAUCCAGCCAUGCCGCGUGGAUGACUGAAGGCCCUAGGGUUGUAAAGUCCUUUCGACGGGGACGAUAAUGACGGUACCCGUAGAAGAAGCCCCGGCUAACUUCGUGCCAGCAGCCGCGGUAAUACGAAGGGGGCUAGCGUUGUUCGGAUUUACUGGGCGUAAAGGGCGCGUAGGCGGAUUUUUAAGUCGGGGGUGAAAUCCCGGAGCUCAACUCCGGAACUGCCUUCGAUACUGGAAGUCUGGAGCACGGUAGAGGUGAGUGGAAUUCCGAGUGUAGAGGUGAAAUUCGUAGAUAUUCGGAGGAACACCAGUGGCGAAGGCGGCUCACUGGACCGUUGCUGACGCUGAGGCGCGAAAGCGUGGGGAGCAAACAGGAUUAGAUACCCUGGUAGUCC
Molecule: ribosomal RNA, 737 nt
Filed under: uncultured bacterium
Lineage: Bacteria
Description: bacterial SSU rRNA
Rfam family: Bacterial small subunit ribosomal RNA
Source: RNAcentral